RNAcentral lists this ribosomal RNA (496 nucleotides) under uncultured bacterium. RNAcentral describes it as "partial 16S ribosomal RNA". It matches the Rfam family "Bacterial small subunit ribosomal RNA", at positions 28 to 506 of the family's 1533-position model. The record is from RNAcentral.
GAUGAACGCUGGCGGCGUGCCUAAUACAUGCAAGUCGAGCGAACAGAUGAGGAGCUUGCUCCUCUGACGUUAGCGGCGGACGGGUGAGUAACACGUGGAUAACCUACCUAUAAGACUGGGAUAACUUCGGGAAACCGGAGCUAAUACCGGAUAAUAUAUUGAACCGCAUGGUUCAAUAGUGAAAGACGGUUUUGCUGUCACUUAUAGAUGGAUCCGCGCCGCAUUAGCUAGUUGGUAAGGUAACGGCUUACCAAGGCGACGAUGCGUAGCCGACCUGAGAGGGUGAUCGGCCACACUGGAACUGAGACACGGUCCAGACUCCUACGGGAGGCAGCAGUAGGGAAUCUUCCGCAAUGGGCGAAAGCCUGACGGAGCAACGCCGCGUGAGUGAUGAAGGUCUGCGGAUCGUAAAACUCUGUUAUUAGGGAAGAACAAAUGUGUAAGUAACUAUGCACGUCUUGACGGUACCUAAUCAGAAAGCCACGGCUAACUACGU